This 2382-nucleotide long non-coding RNA is filed under the name Mus musculus (house mouse). RNAcentral's name for it is "long intergenic non-protein coding RNA of erythroid differentiation 1". The record is from RNAcentral. Lineage: Eukaryota; Metazoa; Chordata; Mammalia; Rodentia; Muridae.
UCCUUUUCAUCUAAAUGCCCAUGGCUGGAGAGGGAGGCCUGCUCUAUGCUACUCCUCACCAAAAGAACUUGCUCGAUAGCAAUACAGGAAGUGCCACCAAAGUUCUUGACCAGAGGCCAUGUGUGGCUGGAAGCAUCUGCCUUUGGAGUGCAGAUGACUAGGAGACCACAACAGCCCUCAGGAGGGCCAAAGAUACCCUCCUGGGUGAAGAGUGGGGUUGAUGGUAUUCUUAUAGGAUAGAAGAGAUGUGAAUACAGACAGACAAAAGGACACAGACAGGGAUGGAGACAACGCAAAGUUGUCCAGUACGGUGUGUGCUUCUCAGCCCGAGUGUCCUGGAAAACUCAGAGAAGUGGGCUGUCGGAGGAAAGGUGAGGCAGGGAGGCUCUGAUCAAGCUAAGCAGAGCCUUUACUGUCAAGCUGACACAUUUCUGAUUCAUAUACUACUUUUUAUGUGUGAAUAAAUGAGUGACUAGAUGAUGUAAAAAUGAACAGUGGAUGAGCAAGAAGAAAGUUUGACUAAAUCUGUCCAAUCCAGUGAUGGCAGAGGCUGGGAAGAGUCUCCUUCCCAGGUGAGCUCUUUGCCUCAGUGCCACAGAGCCAAGAAGCCAUCUGUGAGCUGCAGUCAGAACGCUGGGAGAGGCAUGCCAGAGUUUCUGGGAGAAUGUCCACAGCCAUGUGAAGAUCUCUGCAUCUCUCUCUCACCGCCCAACAAAACAGUUUGGCCACUCAGGCUAAUAAGAUAACGUCUGAAGUUCCACAAUGGAGGCCUCAUCUCUUAGCCAGAAGCUGGAAUGACUGACAUCUGGUGCUGGGCCCUGUGACUGACAGGGCAUCUAGUGCUGGGUCCUGUGAUUGACAGGGCAUCCAGUGCUGGACACUGUGGUAGGCAGGACAUCCAGUGCUGGGCCCUGUGAUUGACAGGGCAUCCAGUGCUGUGUCCUAUGGAAGGCAGGACAUCCAGUGCUGGCCCCUGUGAUUGACAGGACAUCCAGUGCUAUGCCCUAUGGCAAGUGGGGGUGGGGGUGGGGUGGGAAGGCUGGUUUUGACAGAAAAGAUGUAACCUGAGCCCUGAAAAUGGAAGGUUUUCAGGGACAUGGUGGUGGGGAGAGCAGUGAAUGGAGGAGCCAGAGUUAAACCAAGUUGGCUAAGGGUAGUUUUGCAGAGUUCUAGCAACUAAUCCUAACACGUUAUUAGGUGUCCACUUAUUAAUGAAAAUGUCUCACACACUCAGUCUGAUCGCAGUAUCAGUGAGGUGAUUGAAAUAGUUGCAUUAGGCAGCUAAAUCCAUAAUCAUUGGCCUCUCCACCGUAGGGGAGCUUGGCUAAUCCUAACAUUAGCAGGUCGCAGGACCUCAUCAACAGAGCCUGCUGCAGAGUGAGGGAUGCUGUUUUCAGGAUGCCAAGGAGACCUGGGGAGCUCUGGGGGAUGGACACGCUCAUUCUUACUGUAAAGAUCCCCUGAGAACAGCGGGCUGUUAAAGGAUCAGUGUGGAACUUGCCUUACAGUCUAAAAGGCAGCAUAUUUCCUGGUUAUAAUAGUUUGGAGAAAAAUAUUGCUAAAUGGCUGCAUAAACAAUCUUAAUUGGCCUGAGCUCCCAAAAUGGAGCUAUUUCUGUGCUGUCGCCAAGCAUGUUUUUUUUACUAGCUAAUUAUGCCCACCAUUUAACUUUUGGGAGAAAAAAAGAAAAAGAAAGAAAGAGGAGAAACAGGAAAUAAGGCAUUCAUUAUUGGAGUGACAACUUUGGACAAGCCCACAUUUCAACAGCCAUUGUGUAAUUUCCUCUCCCUAGCUUACAGUUAGUUGUUCCAUGAGGCCACUGGAAACAAACACCUCCUUUAGUGGGGGCUGGGAGGUCGUUUGUUCAAUUCAAAAUGCCUGUCUAUUUUCACCUCAGGCAAAGGGACAGGUUCCCUCAGGCCACUGGAGCCCACCUCAAGAGUCUCUUUGCCAGGGAAAUUCUCCAAUGAAGGUUUCUGGUGAGUGGUUUGCCUGGGCUCUGCUGUCAGGGGCCAUGAUGUGCCUGCUGUUUAUGCAACACUUCUAGGCUCCUGGGGAUUUAGCUAACUCUCAGAGUGACACCUUACCCCCACCCUGUGAAAGUAUAAAACACAGUGAAUCCCAGUUUGUUAGGCACCAACUCUCAAAAAGUGAAGUUAGACCACUAUAUUAAAAUCAUCACUGUAUAUAUUAUGUAUGCAUAGAAACCAUACAGAUGCUGAAGUGUGUAGUUCAAACACCAUGUGGCUCCCACAGGAUCAAGAAUAUAUUGUUGCCAGUGCCCUGGGACCCUCCCUUUUACCCCUGUCCAAUCACCAUUUCCCUUCCCCCCUCAAAGGUUCUGAUGUUAUUUAAACUUCAUAUAAAUAGAACCAUAUAAUA